Molecule: long non-coding RNA, 254 nt
Organism: Gallus gallus (chicken)
Lineage: Eukaryota; Metazoa; Chordata; Aves; Galliformes; Phasianidae
Source: Ensembl
GGUGCCGCUAGAUGGCAAUGGAGACAGCAGCACUGUGCAGUUGGCUUCAGCGUCGCCGGUGCUGCCCGCAUCCCUGUGCUGUAACAGCAAACACUGGCUGCUCCAAGGAACAGAUCAGUGCACUGGAUUCCAGAUGUGAUCAUUAUCGGUGCGAGCCUUUCAGCUCACUUUACGAUGAAGACAGGCAGAAAUUGCCUGUAAAAAUCCCAAGCCUCACUGUUGGGUCCUGUGCUACGUCCCGAGUCCGAGAGGAU